CGGUCUCAGUUCGGAUUGAAGGCUGAAAUUCGCCUUCAUGAAGCUGGAAUUGCUAGUAAUGGCAGGUCAGCAUACUGCCGUGAAUACGUUCCCGGGCCUUGUACACACCGCCCGUCACACCAUGAGAGUUGGAAAUGCCCGAAGUCAGUGACCCAACCGAAAGGGGGGAGCUGCCGAAGGCAGGCCUGGUAACUGGGGUGAAGUCGUAACAAGGUAAC
RNAcentral lists this ribosomal RNA (218 nucleotides) under uncultured bacterium. Its description in RNAcentral is "partial 16S ribosomal RNA". It matches the Rfam family "Bacterial small subunit ribosomal RNA", at positions 1283 to 1500 of the family's 1533-position model. The record is from RNAcentral.